Molecule: ribosomal RNA, 468 nt
Filed under: uncultured bacterium
Lineage: Bacteria
Description: partial 16S ribosomal RNA
Rfam family: Bacterial small subunit ribosomal RNA
Source: RNAcentral
GACGAACGCUGGCGGCGUGCUUAACACAUGCAAGUCGAACGGAAAGGCCCUGCUUUUGUGGGGUGCUCGAGUGGCGAACGGGUGAGUAACACGUGAGUAACCUGCCCUUGACUUUGGCAUAACUUCAGGAAACUGGGGCUAAUACCGGAUAGGAGCUCCUGCUGCAUGGUGGGGGUUGGAAAGUUUCGGCGGUUGGGGAUGGACUCGCGGCUUAUCAGCUUGUUGGUGGGGUAGUGGCUUACCAAGGCUUUGACGGGUAGCCGGCCUGAGAGGGUGACCGGCCACAUUGGGACUGAGAUACGGCCCAGACUCCUACGGGAGGCAGAAGUGGGGAAUAUUGCACAAUGGGCGGAAGCCUGAUGCAGCAACGCCGCGUGCGGGAUGACGGCCUUCGGGUUGUAAACCGCUUUCGCCUGUGACGAAGCGUGAGUGACGGUAAUGGGUAAAGAAGCACCGGCUAACUACGUG